UACGUAGGUGGCAAGCGUUGUCCGGAUUUACUGGGCGUAAAGGAUGCGUAGGCGGACAUUUAAGUCAGAUGUGAAAUACCCGAGCUUAACUUGGGUGCUGCAUUUGAAACUGGGUGUCUAGAGUGCAGGAGAGGUAAGUGGAAUUCCUAGUGUAGCGGUGAAAUGCGUAGAGAUUAGGAAGAACACCAGUGGCGAAGGCGGGUCUCUGGGCAAUUCCUGACGCUGAGGCACGAAAGCGUGGGGAGCAAACAGG
Molecule: ribosomal RNA, 253 nt
Filed under: uncultured bacterium
Lineage: Bacteria
Description: partial 16S ribosomal RNA
Rfam family: Bacterial small subunit ribosomal RNA
Source: RNAcentral